CUACGUGCCAGCAGCCGCGGUAAUACGGAAGGUCCAGGCGUUAUCCGGAUUUAUUGGGUUUAAAGGGAGCGUAGGCGGAUUAUUAAGUCAGUGGUGAAAGACGGUGGCUCAACCAUCGUUAGCCAUUGAAACUGGUAGUCUUGAGUGCAGACAGGGAUGCUGGAACUCGUGGUGUAGCGGUGAAAUGCUUAGAUAUCACGAUGAACUCCGAUCGCGAAGGCAGGUGUCCGGGCUGCAACUGACGCUGAGGCUCGAAAGUGUGGGUAUCAAACAGGAUUAGAUACCCUGGUAGUCCACMCAGUAAACGAUGUAUACUCGCGGUUUGCGAUAUAAUGUAAGCCSCCAAGCGAAAGCAUUAAGUAUACCACCUGGGGAGUACGCCGGCAACGGUGAAACUCAAAGGAAUUGACGGGGGCCCGCACAAGCGGUGGAGCAUGUGGUUUAAUUCGAUGCAACGCGAAGAACCUUACCUACUCUUGAC
RNAcentral lists this ribosomal RNA (481 nucleotides) under uncultured bacterium. RNAcentral's name for it is "bacterial SSU rRNA". It matches the Rfam family "Bacterial small subunit ribosomal RNA", at positions 501 to 985 of the family's 1533-position model. The record is from RNAcentral.